CACCAAAAAUAUAAAUCACGCAUACAAAUGUGACACGUCCCUGAACGGCCAAAGCCAACGGCCGGGUGGAAACCAUUCCCAAUAUAGGGAAAUGAACUGUUAAUGCAGGAAAGUAAAGAUCUGGGUCGGGAAAGAGCAGCCCCGAGCUCCGAAGGGAAAUAAAUACGCAUGUUAUAGUGAUAGCAUCAACAGGUUAAAUGGGAUGUUGUGGGGGCUGCUUUUAACGGGUGACACGUCCAACGCAGGCGGCGUAUUUCAGCCAGCCGGGGGAACCUCUGUCCAUAAAUGGCGGGGGACAACUCAUCAUUUGCUCCACUUGAGUCUGCCACGAAACCGAAUGGAAGUGGCGCCUUCUGGAAUUCCAGUACAAAAGGCCCAGCUGAUCCAAAACUCCAAACGCUACCGUGGAAUAUGGGCCUCCAAGAUGGAAGGUAACUGAUGACAUUGAAAACAGUAUGGACAUGAGGCAUGAAAGGUGACAUCAACAUCGUUCACCCAAGGAGUCAUUUACUUGAGAUUUACAACCAACCAUAAGAGAAAAGUGGAAAUUUAUGAAAGACUUCCAUCUGGCAGGAUGUUUCAUUAGUAUUCAAGAUGAUAGCAGCAAUGAUUUAAAUUUAAUAAUCCAAGUGGAGAUAUGCAUCAAAAAUUCUUCUAAAAUAUGUCUAAUAGCGAUAACUGACUUCUUUAUUAGAUUCUGCCCAUGAAAAAAUUCAGAUAUCAAUGAAUAAAGACAUCAUAUGUUAAUCUCA
This 752-nucleotide long non-coding RNA is filed under the name Monodelphis domestica (gray short-tailed opossum). Its description in RNAcentral is "lncRNA (ENSMODG00000051544.1)". The record is from RNAcentral. Lineage: Eukaryota; Metazoa; Chordata; Mammalia; Didelphimorphia; Didelphidae.